AGUUUGAUCCUGGCUCAGGACGAACGCUGGCGGCGCGCCUAACACAUGCAAGUCGAACGGAGCUGAGAGGAGCUUGCUUUUCUUAGCUUAGUGGCGAACGGGUGAGUAACGCGUGAGUAACCCCCCCCGGGGUGGUGGCACACAUUGGAAAAGGUUUUUUAAUCCGCAUAACCCCCCGGUGCUCCAUGGCACUCGGGAAAAAGAUUUAUUCCUUUUGAGAGGACUCGCGUCCAAUUAGUUAGUUGUGAGGUAACGGCCCCCCAAGGCGACGAUUGGUAGCCGAACUGAGAGGUUGAACGGCCACAUUGGGACUGAGACCCGGCCCAGAUUCCUACGGGAGGCAGCAGUGGGGGAUAUUGCACAAUGGGGGAAACCCUGAUGCAGCGACGCCGCGUGGAGGAAGAAGGUUUUCGGAUUGUAAACUCCUGUCGUUAGGGACGAUAAUGACGGUACCUAACAAGAAAGCACCGGCUAACUACGUGCCAGCAGCCGCGGUAAAACGUAGGGUGCAAGCGUUGUCCGGAAUUACUGGGUGUAAAGGGAGCGCAGGCGGACCGGCAAGUUGGAAGUGAAAACCAUGGGCUCAACCCGUGAAUUGCUUUCAAAACUGCUGGCCUUGAGUAGUGCAGAGGUAGGUGGAAUUCCCGGUGUAGCGGUGGAAUGCGUAGAUAUCGGGAGGAACACCAGUGGCGAAGGCGACCUACUGGGCACCAACUGACGCUGAGGCUCGAAAGCAUGGGUAGCAAACAGGAUUAGAUACCCUGGUAGUCCAUGCCGUAAACGAUGAUUACUAGGUGUUGGAGGAUUGACCCCUUCAGUGCCGCAGUUAACACAAUAAGUAAUCCACCUGGGGAGUACGACCGCAAGGUUGAAACUCAAAGGAAUUGACGGGGGCCCGCACAAGCAGUGGAGUAUGUGGUUUAAUUCGAAGCAACGCGAAGAACCUUACCAGGUCUUGACAUCCGAUGCAUAGUGCAGAGAUGCAUGAAGUCCUUCGGGACAUCGAGACAGGUGGUGCAUGGUUGUCGUCAGCUCGUGUCGUGAGAUGUUGGGUUAAGUCCCGCAACGAGCGCAACCCUUAUUGCCAGUUACUACGUAAGAGGACUCUGGCGAGACUGCCGUUGACAAAACGGAGGAAGGUGGGGAUGACGUCAAAUCAUCACGCCCUUUAUGACCUGGGCUACACACGUACUACAAUGGCGUUUAACAAAGAGAAGCAAGACCGCGAGGUGGAGCAAAACUCAGAAACAACGUCUCAGUUCAGAUUGCAGGCUGCAACUCGCCUGCAUGAAGUCGGAAUUGCUAGUAAUCGCGGAUCAGCAUGCCGCGGUGAAUACGUUCCCGGGCCUUGCACACACCGCCCGUC
This 1366-nucleotide ribosomal RNA is filed under the name uncultured bacterium. RNAcentral describes it as "bacterial SSU rRNA". It matches the Rfam family "Bacterial small subunit ribosomal RNA". The record is from RNAcentral.